This 497-nucleotide ribosomal RNA is filed under the name uncultured bacterium. RNAcentral describes it as "partial 16S ribosomal RNA". It matches the Rfam family "Bacterial small subunit ribosomal RNA", at positions 28 to 507 of the family's 1533-position model. The record is from RNAcentral.
GAUGAACGCUGGCGGCGUGCCUAAUACAUGCAAGUCGAGCGAACAGACGAGGAGCUUGCUCCUCUGACGUUAGCGGCGGACGGGUGAGUAACACGUGGAUAACCUACCUAUAAGACUGGGAUAACUUCGGGAAACCGGAGCUAAUACCGGAUAAUAUAUUGAACCGCAUGGUUCAAUAGUGAAAGACGGUUUUGCUGUCACUUAUAGAUGGAUCCGCGCCGCAUUAGCUAGUUGGUAAGGUAACGGCUUACCAAGGCGACGAUGCCUAGCCGCCCUGAGAGGGUGAUCGGCCACACUGGAACUGAGACACGGUCCAGACUCCUACGGGAGGCAGCAGUAGGGAAUCUUCCGCAAUGGGCGAAAGCCUGACGGAGCAACGCCGCGUGAGUGAUGAAGGUCUUCGGAUCGUAAAACUCUGUUAUUAGGGAAGAACAAAUGUGUAAGUAACUAUGCACGUCUUGACGGUACCUAAUCAGAAAGCCACGGCUAACUACGUG